GCAAACUUGGUCAUUUAGAGGAAGUAAAAGUCGUAACAAGGUUUCCGUAGGUGAACCUGCGGAAGGAUCAUUACAUGACACGCCCGAGCCUUUUAGCUCAGGGGUGCUCUCGUCCUUGCUUGUUUGAACCUUUUGUUAUUCCCUCGGUGGGUAUAUAACCUGCCGAUGGGAAUCAUAAACAACCCUUUCUGCAUGUAGAAUUCAAUUCUGAUAGAAACAUUUAAAUCGUUUACAACUUUCAACAAUGGAUCUCUUGGUUCUGGCAUCGAUGAAGAACGCAGC
Molecule: unclassified non-coding RNA, 282 nt
Filed under: uncultured fungus
Lineage: Eukaryota; Fungi
Description: partial contains small subunit ribosomal RNA, internal transcribed spacer 1, and 5.8S ribosomal RNA
Rfam family: Eukaryotic small subunit ribosomal RNA (bases 1-73)
Source: RNAcentral